GACGAACGCUGGCGGCGUGCUUAACACAUGCAAGUCGAACGGAAAGGCCCUGCUUUUGUGGGGUGCUCGAGUGGCGAACGGGUGAGUAACACGUGAGUAACCUGCCCUUGACUUUGGGAUAACUUCAGGAAACUGGGGCUAAUACCGGAUAGGAGCUCCUGCUGCAUGGUGGGGGUUGGAAAGUUUCGGCGGUUGGGGAUGGACUCGCGGCUUAUCAGCUUGUUGGUGGGGUAGUGGCUUACCAAGGCUUUGACGGGUAGCCGGCCUGAGAGGGUGACCGGCCACAUUGGGACUGAGAUACGGCCCAGACUCCUACGGGAGGCAGCAGUGGGGAAUAUUGCACAAUGGGCGGAAGCCUGAUGCAGCAACGCCGCGUGCGGGACGACGGCCUUCGGGUUGUAAACCGCUUUCGCCUGUGACGAAGCGUGGGUGACGGUAAUGGGUAAAGAAGCACCGGCUAACUACGUG
This 468-nucleotide ribosomal RNA is filed under the name uncultured bacterium. RNAcentral's name for it is "partial 16S ribosomal RNA". It matches the Rfam family "Bacterial small subunit ribosomal RNA", at positions 28 to 507 of the family's 1533-position model. The record is from RNAcentral.